RNAcentral lists this ribosomal RNA (468 nucleotides) under uncultured bacterium. RNAcentral describes it as "partial 16S ribosomal RNA". It matches the Rfam family "Bacterial small subunit ribosomal RNA", at positions 28 to 507 of the family's 1533-position model. The record is from RNAcentral.
GACGAACGCUGGCGGCGUGCUUAACACAUGCAAGUCGAACGGAAAGUCCCUGCUUUUGUGGGGUGCUCGACUGGCGAACUGGUGAUUAACACUUUAGUUACCUGCCCUUGACUUUGGUAUAUCUUCAUGAAACUUGGUCUAUUACCUCAUAGGAUCUCCUGCUGCAUGGUGGGCGUUGGUAAGUUUCGGCGGUUGGGUAUGUACUCGCGGCUUAUCCGCUUGUUGGUGGGGUAGUGGCUUACCAAGGCUUUGACGGGUAGCCGGCCUGAGAGGGUAAGCGGCCACAUUGGGACUGAGAUACGGCACAGACUACAACGGGAGGCAAGAGAGGGGAAUAUUGCAGAAUGGGAGGAAGGAAGAUGCAGAAAAGCAGCGUGCGGGAAGACGGCCUUCGGGUAGUAAACCGAAUUCGCAUGAGAAGAAGCGAGAGUGACGGUAAUGGGUAAAGAAGCACCGGCUAACUACGUG